UGGAGGAGCAGGAAACACGGAGAUCAGAACUGGAGAGCAGACUGAGAUCUAGAGGAAAACAACUGGAGGACCAGAAGACAACAAUCACAGAACUGGAGACCAGACUGGGAUCUACUGAGGGACAACUGGACCAGUUAA
Long non-coding RNA from Poeciliopsis prolifica (blackstripe livebearer), 138 nucleotides. RefSeq lists it as uncharacterized. The transcript is spliced from 3 exons. Lineage: Eukaryota; Metazoa; Chordata; Actinopteri; Cyprinodontiformes; Poeciliidae. The record is from RefSeq and is a predicted model, not a curated record.